RNAcentral lists this ribosomal RNA (906 nucleotides) under Didymocyrtis foliaceiphila. RNAcentral describes it as "LSU rRNA". It matches the Rfam family "Eukaryotic large subunit ribosomal RNA", at positions 37 to 962 of the family's 3401-position model. The record is from RNAcentral. Lineage: Eukaryota; Fungi; Ascomycota; Dothideomycetes; Pleosporales; Phaeosphaeriaceae.
AGCAUAUCAAUAAGCGGAGGAAAAGAAACCAACAGGGAUUGCCCUAGUAACGGCGAGUGAAGCGGCAACAGCUCAAAUUUGAAAUCUGGCUCUUUCAGAGUCCGAGUUGUAAUUUGCAGAGGGCGCUUUGGCGUUGGCAGCGGUCCAAGUUCUUUGGAACAGGACGUCACAGAGGGUGAGAAUCCCGUACGUGGUCGCUAGCCUUCGCCGUGUAAAGCCCCUUCGACGAGUCGAGUUGUUUGGGAAUGCAGCUCUAAAUGGGAGGUAAAUUUCUUCUAAAGCUAAAUACUGGCCAGAGACCGAUAGCGCACAAGUAGAGUGAUCGAAAGAUGAAAAGCACUUUGGAAAGAGAGUCAAAUAGCACGUGAAAUUGUUGAAAGGGAAGCGCUUGCAGCCAGACUUGCCUGUAGUUGCUUAUCCGGACUUUUGUCCGGUGCACUCUUCUGCGGGCAGGCCAGCAUCAGUUUGGGCGGUUGGAUAAAGGUCUCUGUCAUGUACCUCCUUUCGGGGAGGCCUUAUAGGGGAGACGACAUACAACCAGCCUGGACUGAGGUCCGCGCAUCUGCUAGGAUGCUGGCGUAAUGGCUGUAAGCGGCCCGUCUUGAAACACGGACCAAGGAGUCUAACAUCUAUGCGAGUGUUUGGGUGUCAAGCCCAGACGCGUAAUGAAAGUGAACGGAGGUGGGAACCUUUUAGGUGCACCAUCGACCGAUCCUGAUGUCUUCGGAAGGAUUUGAGUAAGAGCAUGGCUGUUGGGACCCGAAAGAUGGUGAACUAUGCUUGAAUAGGGUGAAGCCAGAGGAAACUCUGGUGGAGGCUCGCAGCGGUUCUGACGUGCAAAUCGAUCGUCAAAUUUGGGCAUAGGGGCGAAAGACUAAUCGAACUAUCUAGUAGCUGGUUCCUGCC